Molecule: long non-coding RNA, 642 nt
Filed under: Olea europaea (common olive)
Lineage: Eukaryota; Viridiplantae; Streptophyta; Magnoliopsida; Lamiales; Oleaceae
Description: long non-coding RNA (OEUR_LNC001374)
Source: RNAcentral
CUGCAUAGACAUACUGAUGUGAGUUGUUGCACCAGAAUCUAUCCACCAUGUAUGUCUAGGUACCGAAGUUAAAUUAACCUCAGAACAAACUAAAUGAAGAAGAGUACCUUUCUUUACACGCCAUGCAUGGUAAUUGGUGCAAUUCUUCUUCUUAUGACCUGCAGCUCCACAGAAGAAACAACCGCCUUCAGUUGGUUCCUUAUGCUGUUUCUUUUGCGGUGCCGUACCUGCAGCUUCCUUAUUAAUCUUCCUUUUCUUGUUGCUUUUGUCCUUAGAGGUGGUGGCUAAAUGAGCACUUUCUGUCUUUUCAUGCUUCAAUCUUUCCUCUUCCUAGACACAGUGUGAGAUGAGCUCAUUAAGGGACCAUGAGUCCUUUUGACAGUUGUAGCUCACCUUGAAUUGACUGAAAUGUGUCGAAAGGGAUAUCAAAACCAAGUGCACUAACAAGUCUUCAGAUAAAUCCAACUUGAGUGCCUUUAGUUUUAAAGCAAUGUGAGACAUUUCCAUAAUGUACUCCCGAAUGUUUCAUUUCCCUUUAUACCUCAUUGAGACAAGAUUUGCCAAAAGUGUACUUGUUUCAGCCUUUUCAUUCUUGGCAAACCUCUUCUCAAGGUCCUCAAGAAAACCCUUAGCCGUAGUCAC